Long non-coding RNA from Lates calcarifer (barramundi perch), 560 nucleotides. RefSeq lists it as uncharacterized. The transcript has 2 exons. The record is from RefSeq and is a predicted model, not a curated record. NCBI's taxonomy places the organism in Eukaryota, Metazoa, Chordata, Actinopteri, Centropomidae.
GACGGCAGCGAUGCACUGGAAAAUGGCCGCUCCGUCCAUGUUCACUGUGGCUCCGAUGGGAAGGAUGAAGCGGCUGAUGCGUUUGUCAACACCGUUAUUCUCCUCAACACACUUUAUCAUAGAGGGAAGAGUUGCUGAGCUGUGGGUCAGGUUUCCUGCUAUCACAUGACUGAAGUGAGGAUCUGGAUUAACCCGGGGAAACCAGAGCUGAGAACUGGCAUGCUUUUCUCACAGAGGCUCCCCAGAGUCUCUCUGUCUCUUCUCUGUGGACUGAUUUUUAAAGCUCUGUUACAUAACUACUUGAUUUUCUAAUUAACUAAAGCCACACAUCAUGCACAAUCAUUUUAAUUCAAGACAGCAGAAUGAAGGUUAUUCGGCUAAUGUGGUCAGGAGUGGUUCCAUCUUUUUACUGACUCUUGGCCUUUUUAAGUUUCGUGUCACAGUUGUCUGCAAAUCAGCUUUUCUUUCCUUGUUUCCAAAUUAAUUAAUUUAUUGAUUGAUGCACCCAAUGCAAGAAAGACAUGUAAUAAAAGCUGAAAUAAAAGUUACUGUUUUUAGUA